RNAcentral lists this ribosomal RNA (486 nucleotides) under uncultured bacterium. RNAcentral's name for it is "bacterial SSU rRNA". It matches the Rfam family "Bacterial small subunit ribosomal RNA", at positions 26 to 507 of the family's 1533-position model. The record is from RNAcentral.
AGGACGAACGCUGGCGGCGUGCUUAACACAUGCAAGUCGAACGGAGUGCCCAUGACAGGAGGUUUCGGCCAAUAGAUUGGGUUACUUAGUGGCGGACGGGUGAGUAACGCGUGAGCAACCUGCCUUUCAGAGGGGGAUAACAUUUGGAAACAGAUGCUAAUACCGCAUAAGAUUACAGUACCGCAUGAUACAGUGAUCAAAGGAGCAAUCCGCUGAAAGAUGGGCUCGCGUCCGAUUAGAUAGUUGGUGAGGUAACGGCUCACCAAGUCGACGAUCGGUAGCCGGACUGAGAGGUUGAACGGCCACAUUGGGACUGAGACACGGCCCAGACUCCUACGGGAGGCAGCAGUGGGGAAUAUUGCACAAUGGGCGAAAGCCUGAUGCAGCAACGCCGCGUGAGGGAAGACGGUUUUCGGAUUGUAAACCUCUGUUUUCGGUGACGAACAAAUGACGGUAACCGAGUAGGAAGCCACGGCUAACUACGUG